CGUAGGGUGCGAGCGUUAAUCGGAAUUACUGGGCGUAAAGUGUGCCCAGGUGGCCGCGCAUGUCGAGUGUGAAAUCCCCGGGCUUAACUUGGGAAUUGCGCCUCGAAACGUACGGUGGCUGGAGUGUGGCAGAGGGAGGUGGAAUUCCACGUGUAGCGGUGAAAUGCGUAGAGAUGUGGAGGAACACCAAUGGCCGAAGGCAGCCUCCUGGGCCAACACUGACACUCAUGCACGAAAGCGUGGGGAGCAAACAGGAUUAGAUACCCUGGUAGUCCACGCCCUAAAACGAUGAUGACUAGUUGUUGGGGGAGUUAAAUCCCUUACGUAACGCAGCUAACGCGCGAAGUCAUCCGCCGUGGGGAGUACGGUCGCAAGAAUUA
This 380-nucleotide ribosomal RNA is filed under the name uncultured organism. RNAcentral describes it as "bacterial SSU rRNA". It matches the Rfam family "Bacterial small subunit ribosomal RNA", at positions 526 to 897 of the family's 1533-position model. The record is from RNAcentral.